UACGUAGGGUGCGAGCGUUAAUCGGAAUUACUGGGCGUAAAGCGUGCGCAGGCGGUUUGUAAGCCAGAUGUGAAAUCCCCGGGCUUAACCUGGGAAUGGCAUUUGGGACUGCAAGGCUUGAGUUUGGCAGAGGAGACUGGAAUUCCUGGUGUAGCAGUGAAAUGCGUAGAUAUCAGGAGGAAUACCGAUGGCGAAGGCAGGUCUCUGGGCUAGAACUGACGCUCAUGCACGAAAGCGUGGGGAGCAAACGAGG
Molecule: ribosomal RNA, 253 nt
Filed under: uncultured bacterium
Lineage: Bacteria
Description: partial 16S ribosomal RNA
Rfam family: Bacterial small subunit ribosomal RNA
Source: RNAcentral